UGGGGAAUAUUGGACAAUGGGCGAAAGCCUGAUCCAGCCAUGCCGCGUGUGUGAAGAAGGUCUUCGGAUUGUAAAGCACUUUAAGUUGGGAGGAAGGGCAUUAACCUAAUACGUUAGUGUUUUGACGUUACCGACAGAAUAAGCACCGGCUAACUCUGUGCCAGCAGCCGCGGUAAUACAGAGGGUGCAAGCGUUAAUCGGAAUUACUGGGCGUAAAGCGCGCGUAGGUGGUUUGUUAAGUUGGAUGUGAAAUCCCCGGGCUCAACCUGGGAACUGCAUUCAAAACUGACUGACUAGAGUAUGGUAGAGGGUGGUGGAAUUUCCUGUGUAGCGGUGAAAUGCGUAGAUAUAGGAAGGAACACCAGUGGCAAAGGCGACCACCUGGACUAAUACUGACACUGAGGUGCGAAAGCGUGGGGAGCAAACA
This 427-nucleotide ribosomal RNA is filed under the name uncultured bacterium. Its description in RNAcentral is "partial 16S ribosomal RNA". It matches the Rfam family "Bacterial small subunit ribosomal RNA", at positions 355 to 774 of the family's 1533-position model. The record is from RNAcentral.